UACAUACAGACACGCGUGUGUAGUCAAUCAAUUUUCACAAUCUCAAACCACUAAACACUUGUAUCUGGGUGUAAUCUUGCGUGUCUGGGUGUAAGAUUUGGCUUUAAUUAUUUGCUUAAGGUAGCGUUCCAUGUAUUUUAGUUCAAUGUGUGAUCUACAACGUCGAACGACGGCAUCAAGCGAAACUAUCCGUAGCAUCAUAGAAUACCAUCCAAAUGACAUCAUCCACGAAAUCAAGUGACAUCAUCCACGACAUUAUUUACAACAUCAAGUGACAUUAUUUACAACAUGAAGUAACAUCAUUUACAACAAAAGGUGAAAUCAUUUAAGUGACAUCAUCUACGAUCCUAAUAACGCUUGUUGACAUAAAAGAGAGGAAGCCGAAAAUGUUCUCAAAAGAUUUAAAGGUAAACCAUGAAAUCUAGCGGGUUGUGAACCAGUCAACCGAUCCAAUAUACUUGCCACUUUCGAAAGCAUCCAUUGGUCCCUCUCAAAGAAAAACUACGCAAUAAAGAAGAUCAUCUAAAGAAUGAAUUAGCUCACAUGGCACAAAGUUACAUCUCAUCAUACCAACGAAUUCCUUCAGAUCUGAAGAAACAUCACGUGCUUUUAGGACUACGGAACAACAAUGACGUAAUGCUUCUUAAACCGAAUAAAGGUAAUGGAAUAGUAAUAAUGGACAAACAAAUUUAUAAGAGCGCCCGCUACUUAAUUAUUAAUGAUACCACAAAAUUCAAACCUUUAAGUAACGAUGUUACAUUGCUAAGAGAAUGGAAGCUUCAGAGAUUUUUACUUAAGUAAACGUAAACAACAAGGCUUGACCCUGACAAAUUCUCUUCCACUUUUAAAAUUAAAGAAGCCUUGCAUAUGAAUAAGCUCAAACCUGAACUCAAUAAGCAGGUUCACAUUGUUAACACCUUUCUUAGUUUGUAAAUGUAUAUUCUAUUCAAUGUUCUGUCGCUUCACGUAUCAUCCGCUUUUGACAUAUGAAUUACUUUUAAAUAAUUGUAACUCUACACUUAUCUCUAUUGUCUGUAAAUAACUUAUCAAAGUUCAUAUAUAGUAUACAACAUUUAUGGAACAAAGCUCAUUUAAUUUGUUCACACUGACGAUGGCAUAAGAUUGCCGAAACGAGUUUGCAAUAAAAAAGUUUGUUUUAUA
Xenia sp. Carnegie-2017 is the source of this 1161-nucleotide long non-coding RNA. RefSeq lists it as uncharacterized. NCBI's taxonomy places the organism in Eukaryota, Metazoa, Cnidaria, Anthozoa, Malacalcyonacea, Xeniidae. The transcript has 2 exons. The record is from RefSeq and is a predicted model, not a curated record.